This 253-nucleotide ribosomal RNA is filed under the name uncultured bacterium. RNAcentral's name for it is "partial 16S ribosomal RNA". It matches the Rfam family "Bacterial small subunit ribosomal RNA", at positions 524 to 776 of the family's 1533-position model. The record is from RNAcentral.
GACGUAGGGCGCGAGCGUUGUCCGGAUUUAUUGGGCGUAAAGAGCUCGUAGGCGGUUUGUCGCGUCUGCUGUGAAAACCUAAGGCUCAACCUUGGGCUUGCAGUAGGUACGGGCAGACUAGAGUGCGGUAGGGGUGACUGGAAUUCCUGGUGUAGCGGUGGAAUGCGCAGAUAUCAGGAGGAACACCGAUGGCGAAGGCAGGUCACUGGGCCGCAACUGACGCUGAGGAGCGAAAGCAUGGGGAGCGAACAGG